GAACGAACGCUGGCGGCACGUUUUAAGCAUGCAAGUCGAAUGGCAGCAGGGGUAACUCUGUGAGAAUGGCGAACGGGUGAGUAACACGUAGGUGAUCUGACUUGGGGAUGGGGAUAGCUUGUGGAAACACAGGGUAAUACCGAAUAAGCUGACGAGACUUUGGUUUUGUUAGUAAAGGCGCUACGGCGCCGCCUUAAGAGGAGCCUGCGGCUGAUUAGCUAGUUGGUGGGGUAAAGGCCUACCAAGGCGACGAUCAGUAGCCGGCCUGAGAGGGUGUACGGCCACACUGGGACUGAGACACGGCCCAGACUCCUACGGGAGGCAGCAGCUAAGAAUCUUCCGCAAUGGGCGAAAGCCUGACGGAGCGAUGCCGCGUGAUCGAUGAAGGUCGAGAGAUUGUAAAGAUCUUUUCCACAUGAGGAAUAAUACUGGGAGGGAAUGCCCGGUAGAUGACGUUAGUGUGGGAAUAAGCCCCGGCUAAUUACGUGCCAGCAGCCGCGGUAACACGUAAGGGGCGAGCGUUGUUCGGAAUUAUUGGGCGUAAAGGGCACGCAGGCGGCCUAACAAGUCUGAUGUGAAAUCUCCGGGCUCAACUCGGAAUCCGCGUUGGAAACUGUUAAGCUAGAGUAUUAGAGGGGGAGUCGGAAUUCCUAGUGUAGGGGUGAAAUCUGUUGAUAUUAGGAAGAACACCGGUGGCGAAGGCGGACUCCUGGCUAGAUACUGACGCUGAGGUGCGAAAGCAUAGGGAGCAAACAGGAUUAGAUACCCUGGUAGUCUAUGCUGUAAACGAUGUGCAUUUGGUGUUGGGCCGAUUAGGUUCAGUGCCGUAGCUAACG
RNAcentral lists this ribosomal RNA (836 nucleotides) under uncultured bacterium. Its description in RNAcentral is "bacterial SSU rRNA". It matches the Rfam family "Bacterial small subunit ribosomal RNA", at positions 27 to 857 of the family's 1533-position model. The record is from RNAcentral.